UGCUACUGAGAAUGUGUGCGUGUUCAUGAAGUACUAGCACAUCCAAAGCACUGGGCACGAGCUCCACGACCAUCUGGCUGCCUGCUUGUGGAUUCAUUCAUAAGAUGUGGCCAACUGAGGGAGCGAAAGAGAGAGAAUCAGCCAACAUCCCUCUCCUCCUCCCCCUCCUCCUCUUCCCCUUCACCGCGGCCUCUUGCACAUGAAAGGGACCGUGCAAGGCCAAUGGAUGGCCGGUGGGGUGUGUGCUAUGCGAGGGCCCCAGACCCAGACACAACACAACACACAGCUCCACAGGCCACCACAGCUGUGCUGGAAUGUGACCUGUUUCGAAUUUUAAUGCCAGACUCGGCCCUGCGUGUGUGUCUCUGUGUGUGUGUAGAAGGAGGAGGACAUGGAUGGAGGGACAUCAACUACAGAACAACAUGCACUGCCCGCCUUAACGCUUUGACAAAUUGUGGCAGUGUCUGGUAUUUCUCCUUCAGCAGAGGAAACAGCAUUUAAAAAAAUCAAGAAGGAAGGAACAUUUUUCAAGAUUAGCUUUAUUUAUUUGCUAUCAUGUUUUAUACAUGUUUUAAUGAACAUUAAUGUAGGAUAUCAUAGACAAAAUAAAAAACAUAUCUGGUCCCUAUGCAAUUAGAUCAACAGAGCUAGAUCAGUAAAAAUAAAUAUGAAGUACACAAGUCCACGUACAAACACAUGGAAACUCAAAAAAAAUCGAAAAAUAAAAACAAUUGUCCAGAAAAUGGAA
Molecule: non-coding RNA, 748 nt
Organism: Maylandia zebra (zebra mbuna)
Lineage: Eukaryota; Metazoa; Chordata; Actinopteri; Cichliformes; Cichlidae
Source: RefSeq, a predicted model, not a curated record